This 209-nucleotide ribosomal RNA is filed under the name Romboutsia lituseburensis DSM 797. RNAcentral describes it as "23S rRNA. Bacterial LSU". It matches the Rfam family "Bacterial large subunit ribosomal RNA", at positions 2714 to 2925 of the family's 2925-position model. Lineage: Bacteria; Bacillati; Bacillota; Clostridia; Peptostreptococcales; Peptostreptococcaceae. The record is from RNAcentral.
GUACCAGUUGUUCUGCCAAGGGCAUGGCUGGGUAGCUAUGUACGGAAUGGAUAAGCGCUGAAAGCAUCUAAGCGCGAAGCCAACUUCAAGAUAAGAUUUCCCACCGUAAGGGUAAGACCCCAGGAAGACUACCUGGUUGAUAGGUCGAAGGUGUAAGUGCAGUAAUGUAUUUAGCUUAUCGAUACUAAUAGGUCGAGGACUUGACCAAU